CAGAACGAACGCUGGCGGCAGGCUUAACACAUGCAAGUCGAGCGCCCCGCAAGGGGAGCGGCAGACGGGUGAGUAACGCGUGGGAACAUACCCUUUGGUUCGGAAUAACUCAGGGAAACUUGAGCUAAUACCGGAUACGUCCGUAAGGAGAAAGAUUUAUCGCCAAAGGAUUGGCCCGCGUCCGAUUAGCUAGUUGGUGAGGUAACGGCUCACCAAGGCUACGAUCGGUAGCUGGUCUGAGAGGAUGAUCAGCCACAUUGGGACUGAGACACGGCCCAAACUCCUACGGGAGGCAGCAGUGGGAAUAUUGGACAAUGGGCGCAAGCCUGAUCCAGCCAUGCCGCGUGAGUGAUGAAGGCCUUAGGGUUGUAAAGCUCUUUUGUCCGGGAAGAUAAUGACUGUACCGGAAGAAUAAGCCCCGGCUAACUUCGUG
RNAcentral lists this ribosomal RNA (433 nucleotides) under uncultured bacterium. RNAcentral describes it as "bacterial SSU rRNA". It matches the Rfam family "Bacterial small subunit ribosomal RNA", at positions 25 to 507 of the family's 1533-position model. The record is from RNAcentral.